Phascolarctos cinereus (koala) is the source of this 2139-nucleotide non-coding RNA. The record is from RefSeq and is a predicted model, not a curated record. NCBI's taxonomy places the organism in Eukaryota, Metazoa, Chordata, Mammalia, Diprotodontia, Phascolarctidae.
UCUUAAAGAUGUACAUAGCACAUGUGUACUUCCUUAUGGCUCACAGAUGUUAAUUCACAAUCUCCAGGCACAGAGAGAGACAGGAGGCAGGGAGGAAAAGAGAAACAGUCAUACUCUCAUGCAAAUUGCCACCACCAAGUCCCAGCCAGUUAUGCUCUUCCUAAACCAGGAGUAAGGUUGUAAGCAAUGCUGCUUGUGGGGCCCUGGAGAAGAUGGGGAAGUCUUGGACGCUGUAUCCCAAUCCUUCUUCUGGCUGUCCUGUUCGAUAUUGUCGGGCUAAUCCUUUUGCUGCUGGGGAUUUUGGUCUCUCUGAACUACUGGGACUUCUUGGUCUACACAGGGUCUCUCUUCCUUGCCUUCAGUCUGCUCUUCUGGAUGUUCUGGUAUUCAUUCAGCCUUGAGGUGUGCCCUGAGAAACUGGACUCAUAGUGUUUAAGUCUCAACAGCAGUGGAUCUCAGUUCUUGAGUGGAGGGAAGAGAAACAAAUACAAAUGCUGAAGAAAUCCAGAAUUUGACCGGGGAGCACCCUUCAUAAGGAUAGCUGAAGAAAGAAGACUGGCUUCCACAAAAGCCCAGAGUCAACACCAUCCAGUUGCAAGGAAACACCAGUUUGGAGAUGGAAAGCUUUAGGUCACAGAGUGUAUCAUAGAAAAAGUCUGUGAUAUCAACCUGUAUGGUCAGAGACACUGGAACACAACUGAAACCACUUUUGGAAAGGCUACCAUCUCUGUGGGGAAAGAGCUCAAUAGAAGUUCUCCAUGUCCAAAUUCCCAUAAAGGACUUACAUACAAACAUGUCUACCUACCACCAACUUGUUUCUAGAAAGAUUGGGGGCCUGGAUGCUGAAGAAACCCCAAGACUCCAUAUGGAAUCAUGAUAAGACACUUCCUUUACGUCUCUCCACAGAUGCAAGGCAGCUCCUGCCCUGCAGAAGGCGAGGUGAUUAAGGCCCAUUAGAUGCUACAUUCUGGCUCAUUACAACUUAACUGAAUUCAUCUUCCGGAUGACAGCAAUUGUUUAUGCUCCUAAUGGACAUUGCCUUGCCUUCAGUGCAUUUUCCCUAGGAUGGAAACUGACAUUCAAACUGUGACAGAAUUUCCCCUGCAUACCAUCCCUUGGCAGUUCCAACCCUUGGAGCCAGCCAGAUGUCCAGUGACACUGUUCAAAAUCACAGGAAGGAACGCCUGAAACGCAGUAACUGGAAAGCCAGAGUGUUGCCCCACUUGUAACCCUGAAUUCAGUUCCUCUAGGGGUUUGGGGAGAAGAAAACUACUGAAGGGCAAGUUAAAGAUGGGUCACUAUGUAUGAGGAGGUCUUCACUUGAAGAAUUAAAAACCAGAAGAGACCAGAUGACAAGACAGAGGUCAAAGAAAUGAGAGAGUAACCACAAUAAACUAAAAAUAGGUAAAGGAGCAGAGCUGAGAAUGUUCCCUGAUGCUUAAAAGAAAUAAAGUAGAAGAGGAUCAGAAGUUUGAGCAGCUGCUUCAGGCUGUUCUGGGAACUGGUUUGAUUGGAGGAGAGCUCUAUAGCUGUUGGGAAGUGGAAGAAAGCAGAAUCCUGCUAUGUGAAGAGCUGGCUGGGUUUGGCUGCAUUGCCCAGAGAUAAAAUUGAAGAACUUUUCACCUCUGUUUUAAGGAAAAAGUUUGUCACUGACCUAGCUUAACACUGCUUCAGCAGUAAGGCAAGGGAGCAGACCCAAAAUGCUGCUGAUCCCAGAACUGGGUCUGCUGUUUCACUGAAAAAGGACAAUAUGACUGCUUAAUGAAAAGAGCUUAACAUUGCUUCAGUGGCCCAUAAGCAGUAGAGAAGUGUAUCCAAAUGUAUUCAAAAGGAUACAAGCAUAUUUCUUUAUUCCACUUCACUUUAUUGCAUUUCUCAGCACAAUUUGCAUUUUUUAUUACAAAUUGAAGGUUUGUGGCAAUUUUAUUUCAAAAUCGGUCUAUUUUCCCAAUAGCAUGUGCUGACAGAGUGUCUCUAUGUCACACUAUGUUAAUUCUCAUAAUAUUUCAGACUUUUUAAUUAUUAUUAUAUCUACUAUGUUGACCUAUAAUCAGUGAUCUUUGAUGUUACUAUUAUAAUUGUUUUGGGGGUGCUACGAACAGAGCUCAUAUAAUACAGUGAACUUAAUCAAUAAAUGUU